AUUACUCCUACGGGAGGCAGCAGUGGGGAAUAUUGCACAAUGGGGGAAACCCUGACGCAGCCAUGCCGCGUGUGUGAAGAAGGCCUUCGGGUUGUAAAGCACUUUCAGUAGGGAGGAAGGGUUGAUGUCUAAUACGCAUCAACAUUGACGUUACCUACA
This 159-nucleotide ribosomal RNA is filed under the name uncultured Gammaproteobacteria bacterium. RNAcentral describes it as "partial 16S ribosomal RNA". It matches the Rfam family "Bacterial small subunit ribosomal RNA", at positions 332 to 483 of the family's 1533-position model. Lineage: Bacteria; Pseudomonadati; Pseudomonadota; Gammaproteobacteria. The record is from RNAcentral.